GCGAUUGCCCGUUCCUAGUCCAUCUAAUCAAAUCGUCCGACUUCAGGUUGCUACAUUUGAUUGACCAAGGUUGAUUCUCGUGCACGACCGACGCUCCCGUGUAGGUUACUUAAUUGGGAAGAACAUUACACAUCAAGAGAAUUAUUCUUAUUUCUGAAAGAGUACAAUGAAUAUAAAAUAAUGAGCUGCAUAACGAAGAAAAAAAGAGAAAAAAUUCUUCAAUGAGAGUAUAAUUUUUUCACUCCCAGUAGAAAAUAGAAUUCUGGUCAAUUGGACUCGCAGAAAAGGAAUCGAAACCGGCCGGCGCCAAAAAGUCUAUCACAAUAAGGCGCGCAGCAAGAGUGAAGGAACAUCGGUAACGAACACGUUGAUCCGGUUCCGCGAGGUAGAGGACAGACACGCUCAACGAUUCCUGUUUAUUUUUAGCGAUUUAUUCUUUUAUAACGCCCCGUCGUCCUCGUAGACACCAACUCGACCAGAUGAAAUUAUAAUACAUGCAAGCUCGAGGAAAAAAGUGAUAACCAUCGUAUUGAAGUGACCUAUAAAAUAGUUAUUAUCUUCUACUUUCUCUAUUAAGCUAUUAUAAAAUACAUCGGUGAAAAGAUAUAAGAAUCAAUGUUUACAGUUUAAUUAUUUACAAUUAAUAUGAUUUUUCUAAAAAUAAAUAACUAGUAAUUUUAA
Long non-coding RNA from Apis cerana (Asiatic honeybee), 681 nucleotides. RefSeq lists it as uncharacterized. The record is from RefSeq and is a predicted model, not a curated record. Lineage: Eukaryota; Metazoa; Arthropoda; Insecta; Hymenoptera; Apidae.